AACUCCCUGGGAUUUCGCGUGAGAAAAGUCUUUUUUUUACCAACACUUCUUAAAAGGGAUGCUUACUCCGGCUGCGGCAUAUACGCCUCCUUUCCCUUCGGGGACUGCCAGUGGACAUAUAAAACAGACGGGAAGCAACCCACCUGCUUAUGCAGGUAGAAAUUCGGCUUUUAUAUACGGUUAUCUUGGGGGUUCU
RNAcentral lists this non-coding RNA (196 nucleotides) under Bacillota bacterium. RNAcentral's name for it is "6S RNA". It matches the Rfam family "6S / SsrS RNA". Rfam says of the family: E. coli 6S RNA was the first non coding RNA to be sequenced, but its function was unknown until recently. It consists of 184 nucleotides that fold into an extended hairpin structure with a large single-stranded internal bulge. The record is from RNAcentral. Lineage: Bacteria; Bacillati; Bacillota.